CAAGGAAGCAUGAGACAGAACAUCAGGAUGAUGGCUGAAUCAUUAAAGAAGGGGACGGCUCAGGAAGAGUCAGGACGGCAUCGGAUUAUGCCAGGAUGUUUCAGGACGAAACCAGGGACACCUCCAGGACGGAGAAGAGAGCUCACAAAGGAAGCUGAGCGGGUCACAGAUGACCAAGGGAUAUCAGUCAGGAUGACUUAGGACAGACCGUCAGGAUGAAAGUUGGACGAUGCGAAGGACAGCCGGUUAGGAUAACCGCAGGAAAAGUUUUCAGGGAUUGAGCAGGGAGCACUUAGGUAGCUGGAUUGCUAUAAAACGAACCGGGGGCACUGUGUAAACAGUGCCCCCAACUUUUUGU
RNAcentral lists this non-coding RNA (358 nucleotides) under Rahnella sp. JUb53. Lineage: Bacteria; Pseudomonadati; Pseudomonadota; Gammaproteobacteria; Enterobacterales; Yersiniaceae. The record is from RNAcentral.